CAGUCGCCGCGGGAAUACGAAGGGGGCUAGCGUUGUUCGGAUUUACUGGGCGUAAAGGGCGCGUAGGCGGGCUGAUAAGUCGGGGGUGAAAUCCCAAGGCUCAACCUUGGAACUGCCUUUGAUACUGUUGGUCUUGAGUCCGGGAGAGGUGAGUGGAACUGCGAGUGUAGAGGUGAAAUUCGUAGAUAUUCGCAAGAACACCAGUGGCGAAGGCGGCUCACUGGCCCGGAACUGACGCUGAGGCGCGAAAGCGUGGGGAGCAAACAGGAUUAGAUACCCGAGUAGUCCCUGUCUCUUAUAC
Molecule: ribosomal RNA, 301 nt
Filed under: uncultured bacterium
Lineage: Bacteria
Description: partial 16S ribosomal RNA
Rfam family: Bacterial small subunit ribosomal RNA
Source: RNAcentral